GGGGCUGAUUCUGGAUUCGACGGGAUUUGCGAAACCCAAGGUGCAUGCCGAGGGGCGGUUGGCCUCGUAAAAAGCCGCAAAAAAAUAGUCGCAAACGACGAAAACUACGCUUUAGCAGCUUAAUAACCUGCUUAGAGCCCUCUCUCCCUAGCCUCCGCUCUUAGGACGGGGAUCAAGAGAGGUCAAACCCAAAAGAGAUCGCGUGGAAGCCCUGCCUGGGGUUGAAGCGUUAAAACUUAAUCAGGCUAGUUUGUUAGUGGCGUGUCCGUCCGCAGCUGGCAAGCGAAUGUAAAGACUGACUAAGCAUGUAGUACCGAGGAUGUAGGAAUUUCGGACGCGGGUUCAACUCCCGCCAGCUCCACCA
This 364-nucleotide transfer-messenger RNA is filed under the name Escherichia coli. RNAcentral's name for it is "Standard tmRNA". It matches the Rfam family "transfer-messenger RNA". Rfam says of the family: Bacterial tmRNA, also known as 10Sa RNA or SsrA, is named for its dual tRNA and mRNA-like properties. Lineage: Bacteria; Pseudomonadati; Pseudomonadota; Gammaproteobacteria; Enterobacterales; Enterobacteriaceae. The record is from RNAcentral. RNAcentral also lists the same sequence under 2 other names.